This is a non-coding RNA of Coturnix japonica (Japanese quail), 1360 nucleotides long. NCBI's taxonomy places the organism in Eukaryota, Metazoa, Chordata, Aves, Galliformes, Phasianidae. The record is from RefSeq and is a predicted model, not a curated record.
UGCUUGGUAGAGAGUGAUGUGUAGCUACAGGAUCAGAAGGCAGGAGACUGCAGUAUUGCCAAUAUUGGUCUGACCAUAAUGGGAAUACAAGAGGUAGCAGCCAUGAGUUACAGCAAUUGCUAACCCAGUGCUAAGGAAGGGGAUGUAUCCUUCUGAUGGUGACAAGGAUCAUGGAGGAGCUCCUCUCCUGCUACAGAGCAGCUGCUGCACCACCCAUUCUGCUGCAGUCUCAUCACUGGUUGCAAAGCUGGACACCAUUCACCCACCAGGCAGCCAGGAAAAUCCCCAGCCGCCGCUUACUGAGGGAAGAACAGACAUCAAUUAGUGAGUGGGAACAUCCUUCCCAUCAUCUGAUGGGGCGUCAUCUGAGAAGAGAAUAAUGCGGAGAGAAGUGCAGGAACAGCAUGUGACAAAUGAGGGAAACAGUUUGUUUAUAGGGUGCAGCAGCAGAAGGGUAAUCUUUUGUGAUGCAGCUUCAAACAGAGGAAGAAAAUCUGUCAGUCUCUGCGAACAAAGAGAAUAUUCUGGAAGCUGCCACGCUCUGUUUGCUGUUGUUAUUUGUCUGUUUUAAAGUGAGUAUUUACCCUUUUUCAUUUUAGUGGAAUGGAGUUGGGCACCGAAGCUGCAUUAUCUCAUCUGUUCCUAUGCAAUGCAGUAACAUCUGGAAGCAAAGGGAUGGAUGUGGCUGACCUGGCAGUGUGAACAGCCCCGUGAUGGGAUGGCAAUUAGCUGCACAUUUGUCAGUGUGGGAUUCAAGAGUGUAAAACUCAGCCGUUGCUUUGGAGCUGACAAUCCUGGGCUGUGCUCAUUGCAACCAGUGGAGUUUAGGACAUGGUUCAGCUGAGAUGACAUGAGAUAAGCUCAGCUGUAGGAUAAGCACUGCCUGCAGGCCCUGGGCUGUUCUCUGUAUUACUGCACAGUGUGGGCCUGCUGGGCAUCUCUUUGCAUGGAAACAGUGUCAGGUUCUGGGGAUCCCCAUCCCACUCUCUUUGCCUCUCUCUUUGCUGUGCUGUACCAUCCUGAUGCUCCAGUUGUGGGGUAUGUGGGGUGUGCAUACCCUGCAGGGUGGCAGAGGUGCUUGAUAAAUCACGGUGGGUCUUUAGAAAGGAGAGAACACUUUUCCUGCCUGCUGCCUUUUAUGCUGUAGGGAGGACUAAAAGCCCAGCAGUGCCAAUACACAGCUUUUAUGGAAUCAGAGAGUCAUAGAAUGGGUUGGACUGGAAGGGACCCAAGGAUCACCAAGUUCCAAAUCCCUUCCAAGCACACAGUUGCCGUCUACGAAGUCAAGCCCCAGCUCAUGUCAACUGCACCACUCAGCCUGGUGUGAUCUGCAAACCUACUAAGGGUACACUCAAUCCUA